Molecule: transfer RNA, 74 nt
Filed under: Candidatus Shapirobacteria bacterium
Lineage: Bacteria; Candidatus Shapironibacteriota
Description: tRNA-Cys
Rfam family: tRNA
About the family: Transfer RNA (tRNA) molecules are approximately 80 nucleotides in length. Their secondary structure includes four short double-helical elements and three loops (D, anti-codon, and T loops).
Source: RNAcentral
GACCCGGUAGUCAAGCGGUUAGACAGCGGUCUGCAAAACCGUUCAGGUGGGUUCAACUCCCACCCGGGUCUCAA